RNAcentral lists this ribosomal RNA (1387 nucleotides) under metagenome. RNAcentral describes it as "bacterial LSU rRNA". It matches the Rfam family "Bacterial large subunit ribosomal RNA", at positions 1501 to 2912 of the family's 2925-position model. The record is from RNAcentral.
CCAGUUUUGCUCCAAGGACCAAUCUAAGACCUGUUGGAAAAUCCGCAGGACUUGUCGAAGGUGACAGUACCAUGAGUCUUCGGACAAAUGGAUAGUGACCCUAAUCAGACCUCCAAGAAAAUUUCCUAAACUUAUGAUUGUACCGCCCGUACCGUAAACCGACACAGGUAGUCGAGAAGAAUAUUCUAAGGUGCUCGAGUGAAUCAUGGCUAAGGAACUCGGCAAAUUGACCCUGUAACUUCGGGAUAAAGGGUGCCCCCCUCGCGGGGGGCCGCAGUGAAAUGGCUCAGGCGACUGUUUAACAAAAACACAUGGCUAUGCUAAAUCGAAAGAUGAUGUACAUGGCCUGACACCUGCCCGGUGCUGGAAGGUUAAGAGGAGAUGUCAGUCGCAAGACAAAGCAUUGAAUCGAAGCCCCAGUAAACGGCGGCCGUAACAAUAACGGUCCUAAGGUAGCGAAAUUCCUUGUCGGGUAAGCUCCGACCUGCACGAAUGGUGUAACGAUCUGAGCACUGUCUCAGUCAUGAGCUCGGUGAAAUUGUAGUAACGGUGAAGAUGCCGUUUACCCGCAACGGGACGGAAAGACCCCGUGCACCUUCACUACAACUUUACAUUGAUUCUGGAUAAAUGAUGUGUAGGAUAGGUGGGAGACUUUGAAGCGGUGGCGCUAGCCAUCGUGGAGUCAACCUUGAAAUACCACCCUUUAUUUAUUCGGAGUCUAACCCCGAUCAUUCGGGGGACAUUGUAUGGUGGGUAGUUUGACUGGGGUGGUCGCCUCCAAAAGAGUAACGGAGGCUUUCAAAGGUACCCUCAGCACGCUUGGUAACCGUGCGCGGAGUGCAAUAGCAUAAGGGUGCUUGACUGUGAGACAUACAAGUCGAGCAGGGUCGAAAGACGGAUAUAGUGAUCCGGUGGUUCCGCAUGGAAGGGCCAUCGCUCAAAGGAUAAAAGGUACGCCGGGAUAGCAGGCUGAUCUCCCCCAAGAGCUCACAUCGACGGGGAGGUUUGGCACCUCGAUGUCGGCUCGUCACAUCCUGGGGCUGGAGAAGGUCCCAAGGGUUCGGCUGUUCGCCGAUUAAAGUGGCACGCGAGCUGGGUUCAGAACGUCGUGAGACAGUUCGGUCCCUAUCUGUUGUGGGCGUUGGAAGUUUGAGAGGACCUGACUCUAGUACGAGAGGACCGAGUCGGACGUACCUCUAGUGUACCAGUUGUUCCGCCAGGGGCAUCGCUGGGUAGCUAUGUACGGUUGAGAUAAGCGCUGAAAGCAUCUAAGCACGAAACUCGCCUCAAGAUGAUACUUCCUUUAAGGGUCGUCAGAGACUAUGACGUUGAUAGGUUGCAAGUGUAAAGUCAGUAAUGACAAAGCUGAGCAAUACUAAUUGCCCUA